Mirounga angustirostris (Northern elephant seal) is the source of this 7474-nucleotide long non-coding RNA. RefSeq lists it as uncharacterized. The record is from RefSeq and is a predicted model, not a curated record. The transcript is spliced from 3 exons. NCBI's taxonomy places the organism in Eukaryota, Metazoa, Chordata, Mammalia, Carnivora, Phocidae.
AUGUGGAGUCUGCUUAAGAUUCUCUCUCUCCCUCUCCCUCUGCCUGUCCCCCUGCCUUGUGCUCACGGGCACUAGCUCUCUCUCUCUCUCAAAAUUGCAUUUUUCUUUUUUUCUUUUUUUAAAGAUUUUAUUCAUUUGAGAGAGAUUGAGUACAAGCCAGGGAGAGAGGCAGAGGGAGAGGGAAAAGCAGACCCCUGCUGCAAAGAGAGCCCAACUUGGGGCUCGAUCCCAGAACCCUGGGAUCAUGACCUGAGCCGAAGGCAGAUGCCCAACCGACUGAGUGCCCCUAAAUUGCAUUUUUUUUAAAGAUUUUAUUUAUUUAUUUGACAGAGAGAGAGAUAGCGAGAGCAGGAACACAAGCAGGGGGAGUGGGAGAGGGAGAAGCAGGCUCCCCGCUGAGCAGGGAGCCCAAUGCGGGGCUCGAUCCCAGGACCCUGGGAUCAUGACCUGAGCCGAAGGCAGACGCUUAAUGACUGAGCCACCUAGGCGGCCUAAAUUGCAUUUUUCUAAUGACAUCUUUUCAUGUGCUUACUUGCCAUUUAUAUAUCUUUUUUGGUUGUGUUUAUUCCGUUUUUUUUUUUUUUUUUUUGCCAAUGUAGUUAUUGGGAUGUUUAUCUUUUUUAUUGUUGAGUUGUAAGAGCUUUUACAUAUACUAGAUACAAGUCCUUUGUCUAUGUAUGUUUUGAAUAUAUUUUUCCCACUAUGUGCUUUGCCUUUUCAUUUUUUCUAACAGUCUUCAAAGAGUAGAAGUCUUAAAUCUUACUUAAACCAUUUAUAUACACAGUAACAUGAAAGAAUUUCAAAAUAACUCUGUUGAGAGAGAAAAGCCAGGUUUUUUUUUUUUUUUUUUAAGAUUUUAUUUAUUUAUUUGAGAGAGUGAGCAAGCAUGAGCUGGGUGAGAGGCAGAGGGAAAAGCAGGCUCUCCACAGAGCAGGGAGCCUGAUGUGGGGCUGGAGCCCGGAAUUGUGGGAUCACGACCUGAGCUGAAGGCAGAUGCUCAACUGACUGACCCACCCAGGCACCCCGAAAAGCCAGUUUUUAAAAAGUACAUACAGUCCGGGGGCACCUGGAUGGCUCAGUCGGUUGGGUGUCCGACUCUUGAUUUUGUCUCGGGUCUUGAGGUGGUGGGAUCGAGCCCGGCGUCAGGGUCCGCACACUCAGGAUGAAGUCUGCUUGGGAUUCUCUCCCUCUCCCUCUGCUCCUCCCCACACUUGUGCUCUCUAAACAAACAAACAAAUAAAUAAAAUCUAAAAAAUAAAAAGUACAUGCAGUCUGGCUCCAUUUAUUUAAAAUUCUCAAAAAAAUGAAAACUAACCUGAAAUAACAGCAGAUUAGAAGUCGCCAAGGGGCACAAGGAAAACUUUUUAAAAAGAUUUUAUUUAUUUAUUUGACAGAGAGAGACAGAGUGAGAGCAGGAACACAAGUAGGGGGAGUGGGAGAGGGAGAAGCAGACUCCCCACUGGGACUCGAUUCCAGGACCCUGGGAUCAUGAUCUGAGCCGAAGGCAGACGCUUAACGACUGAGCCACCCAGGUGCCCCACAAGGAAAGCUUUUGGGUGACGUUGGCUUGAUUUCGGUGUUGGUUUCAUAGAUGUGCACUGAUGUCAAAACUCAUCGAAUUAGACACUUCAGAUACUUUGUUGUACACCAGUAAAGCUGUCAAAGAAAGGAUAUGCACAUACAAGGAAAAACACCUUUUGAACACCUUGCUGUGUUCUGCCCAAACACUAGGAAGAUGGUGAAGAUGCACAGGAAAAUAAUGGACCCUCUCCAGCAGCUCCAAGUCUUGACGCAGAGCGAUUUAACGAAACGAUGAUCGUACGCCUCCAUACAGCAGUGUGGAACUCCAGCUCCAGUCCCAAUUCCUGCACCCACUGGCUGCGUGCACCUGGGAAAGUUAUUUACCCCCUUUAAGCCUUGUUUUAUUCUCCUGUCAAAUGGCUAUAAUAAUAUCUUAGCCAGGAUGCGGUCACAACGAUCAGGCUAGGUAUAUCCCAUAUCCAGUGCACACCGGGCGGGGGUGGGGGGGACACAGACGCAGUGCCCUCAUCCCCAAGGGUUCAGGGAGGGCUGGAGAGAGGCAGGGGCAUGUGGCUGGAGCCGCAGAGAAUGAAUAGGAGUUUGUAGGAUGGACAAGAGAAGAGUGACCUUCAUCUGGAGAGAAGAACGUGGGCAGCUCAAAGCCAAUACUGACCGAGCGCGAGCGAGGCACCGUCCUGGGCCUGGAGAUCCUGAGAUGAACCAGCCGUCAAGGUCUGUGCCCUCGAGGAGCUGGCACCCUGAGGGACGACCAGAUGACAGAGACUGUUCCAUGGUCACCGGCCCCCGGGCUCGGAAUGGAGCCUUGGGAGGUGGGCACAGGCAGGACCGUCGGACCUCACUCUCUCCCACCGCCGGAAGCUUUGACAGGUCUAGCUCAGAGCUCCCGCAGUGAUGAAGCCUUACCGGACUGCCCUCUGCCCUCGCUAAAGCUGCCCUCGUCUCUCAUCCUCCUGCGUGUUCCCUGAGCCUCCCGGAGGCCUGUGUUCCGGUUUCCCAUCCAAGCCCUGCCUUAGCACCGGUUACCCCACCAGACGGUCACAUCCCACACUAGCCGGCUCCUUCGCUCGUAACAGUAACACACAGAUUACUACUAGUCAGUAGCUGAGAUCUGCAGCCAGGUACCCCGGCAUACACACAUACACACUCUCUGGGGCCCAGGCCGGUGACAGAGCAGACAUGGGCCCAUGCCAUCUGCCCUGACUUGCACUUAGGAAUGCUGGGUGCCCAGGAGUCAGGACAAGGGCCUCGUGGGCUGGAAGGAGGGUAGGCUUGCUGGAGGAGAAAGCAUCUGAGUUAGGUCUUCGUGAAAUGUUGGGGCUCACACACGCAGGGACAGAUCACCCCAAGGGAGGGGCACAGCAUGAGCCCAGAAGGCGAUUGUCUGUGGGGUCACACCCUCAACUCCAGAUGGUCCUCUGUCCCGAGCUGCUCCACGCCCCCACUGAGGUGUAGAUCCCUCCAGCUCCCCGCCCUGCCUCCUUUCCCCAGCCUCCCCUACCUUCACCUUCUCUUGAUUCCUUUGUCUCUCUUUCCACUGCUUUGAAACUCGCACUGUUUCUAAUCUUUGAUAUCCCCUUGCAUGUGGAAGCAGGGCACUGAAAAACACAGCUACCUGAGGGCUCUGUACCCUCGGCCCGAGCACAAGAACCUCAGCACAUCCCUGUCUGCUACUGCUGAAGACCCAGGGCCACCUUGUUUUCCCAUGUCCCGAUGUGAGUGCUAAUCACUGUCCUUUCUGCCUGACCCACUCUGGUCCCUUUCUCUGCUCACCAUGGCUUUCUUGAAUCCUGUUCCUUCCUUCUGGGCUCAAGGCCCUUCCUGGUAAGGCACAUCUGAAAAUCCUUCCAGCGAGAGUUUCUGAGGGGUCGAUACUCGGAGCCUAUGUGAGAAACACCUAUUUUGCCCUCUGUUUUCAUUGCCGUCUCUCCACCCCCCACACAGCUUCUGCACUGCCCACGCUCCCCGCACUGGACCUCCACAAUCCUUCCUGACUGUGCUCUAGAAGAUUCUGUUAUUCCUUCUAGUCUUUUCCCGGGCUGCAGCCUGAUGGAUGUUUCUUUUUUCUUUUUUUAAAUUUUUAUUUAUUUGACAGAGAGACAGUGAGAGAAGGAACACAAGCAGAGGGAGAGGGAGAGGGAGAAGCAGGCUCCCCACUGAGCAGGAAGCCCGAUGUGGGGCUCGAUCCCAGGACCCUGGGACCAUGACUUGCGCCGAAGGCAGAGGCUUAACGACUGAGCCACCCACGUGCCCCUGAAUUUAUUUUUUAAAAAGAUUUUAUUUAUUUAUUUGAGAAAGCAUGAAGAGGGGAAGGGACAGAGGGAGAAGCAGACUCUCCCCUGAGCAGGGAGCCCAUGCAGGACUCUAUCCCAGGACCCCGGGAUCAUGACCUGAGCCAAAGGCAAAUGCUUAACUGACUGAGCCACCCAGGUGUCCUCUUCCAUGUGAAUUUAAAAACCAGCUUGUCAAUUUAUACAAAGAAGCUGGCUGGAAUUUUUUUUUUUUCCUGGCUGGAAUUCUGAUAAGGAUUGUGUUGAUCUGUAAAUACAUUUGGGGGAAUAUUGCCGUCUUAAUAAUAUUAGGUUUUCGAUCCAUCAGUGUGGGACGUUCCCAUUGACUCAGAUAUUCUUCAGUGUCACUCAACAAUGUUUUGGUAGUUUUCAGAGUAUAAAUUUUGUGCUUCUUUUCUCAAAUCUAUCCUCAAAUAUUAUUUAUUUAUUUGACAGAGAGAGAACAGGAGAGCAUAAGCAGGGGGCGCAGCAGAGGGAGAGGGAGAAGCAGGCCCUCCGCUGAGCAGGGAGCUAGACGUGGGGCUCGAUCCCCGGACCCUGGGAUCAUGACCUGAGCCAAAGGCAGACGUUUAACCGACUGAGCCACCCAGGUGCCCCUUUAUAUUUUAUUCUUUUGAUGCUAUUGUAAAUGGAAUUGUUUUCUUGAUUUCCUUUUCAGAUUGUUUAUUGUUAGUUUAUAGAAAUACGAUUUUUAAAAUAUUUAUCUUGUAUCUUGCAAGCUUGGUAGAUGCCUUUAUUAAUUCUAAUAGCUUUUGUGUGAAUUCCUUAGGUUUUCUAUAUACAAGAUCACGUCUUCUGCAAAUAGAGUUUUCUUCUUCCUUUCCAAUAUAGAUGCUUUUUAUUUCUUCUUGCUAAUUUCCCUGAUCUGAACCUCCAGUACAAUGUUGAAUGAAGGUAGUGAAGUGGACAUCCUUGUCUUGUUCCUGACCUUACAAAGAAAGUAUUCAAUCUUUCACCAUUAAGUGUAAUAUUAGCUGUGGGUUUUUCAUAGAUGCCCUCAUCAGGGGAAGUUGCAUUCUAUUCCUGUAUUUUGAGAGUUUUUAUUAUAAAAGUGUAUUGGAUUUUGUCAAAUGCUUUUUUUGCAUUUAUUGAGAUAAUCAUGUGUUUAUUUUAUUAAUAUAAUGUAUUACAUUAAUACAAUGUAUUGAUAUUAUAUAUUACAUUAAUUAUCAGAUGUUAAACCAACUUUGCAUUCUUAAGAUAAAUCCUUUUUAUAUGUUCUAUAUAUAUAAUUCUUUUUAUAUGUUGCUAGAUUUGGCUUACUGAUUUGGGGAUUUUUGCAUCCAUAUUCAUAAGAGGUUUUAGUUUAUAGUUUUCUUGUGAAAGUUUAUAGUUUUUUUAAGAUUUUAUUUAUUUAAGAUUUUAUUUAUUUAUUUGAGAGAGAGAGAAUGAGGGAUAGAGAACACGAGAGGGAAGAGGGUCAGAGGGAGAAGCAGACUCCCUGCUGAGCAGGGAGCCCGAUGCGGGACUCGAUCCCGGGACUCCAGGAUCAUGACCUGAGCCGAAGGCAGUCACUUAACCAACUGAGCCACCCAGGUGCCCCAAGAUUUUAUUUAUUUAUUUGACGGAGAGACACAGCGAUAGAGGGAACACAAGCAGGGGAGUGGGAGAGGGAGAAGCAGGCUUCUCGCGGAACAGGGAGCCCGACGUGGGGCUCAAUCCCAGGACCCCGGGAUCACGACCUGAGCCGAAGGCAGAUACUUAACGACUGAGCCACCCAGGCGCCCCUCUUAGUCUCUGUUUCAUUUAUUUCUACUCUCAUCUUUAUCAUUUCCUUCAUUCCACAUACUUCAGGUUUAGUUUUCUCUUCUUUUUUCCAGUAUUUUAAAGUGAAAGUUUAGGUUAUUGAUUUGAGCUCCUUCUUCUUUUUAAUAUAGGCAUUUACAGCAACAAAUUUCCUUCUAGGCACUGCUUUGGUUGCAUCCCAUAAGCUUUGGUAUGCUAUGUCUUCAUUUUCAUUCAUCUCAAAAUAUUUUCUGAUUUCCUUUUUUAUUUUUUCCUUGACUUUGAAAUAUGGUUAUUUAAGAGUGUGUUGUUUUUAAUUUCCACAAAUUCAUUUCCCAAGUUUCUCACUAUAAUUGAUUUCUAAUUUCAUUCAACUGUGUUCAGAGAACACACUUUCUAUUAUUUCUAUACUUUUAAAUUUAUUGAGGCUUAUUUUUUGGCUUGGCAUGUGGUUCAUCCUGAACACCAUUCCAUGUGUAUUUGAGAAGAAUUAUAUUCUGCUCUUUGGUCUCUUUCCCUUUCGAGGACUCUUGUAAUUAUACUGGGCCCACAUGGAUAAUCUAGGAUAAUCUAUUUUAAGCUUAGCUGAUUAGUAAACUUAAUUCUAUCUCUAACCUUAGUUCCCCCUUUUUCAUGUAAUAUUCACAGGUUUUGUGGAUUAGGAUAUGGACAUUUGGGGGUGGGGUGAGGUCAUUAUUCUGCUUACGACAACAGGGAAGAACCAUGAGAAGCUUCUUUUUUGGGUAUCAUGUUUGCCAAAAGAAAAACACCUCCCUCCCCACAUAACCAUUUUGGGGGAAGGCUAUGUAACUUUUUUUUACAGGCAAAGUAAUGUGGAGGCAAAGUAACUUUUUUUUUUUUAAAGAUUUUAUUUAUUUAUUUGAGACAGAGAGAAUGAGAGACAGAGAGCAUGAGAGGGAGGAGGGUCAGAGGGAGAAGCAGACUCCCCGCCGAGCAGGGAGCCCGAUGCGGGACUCGAUCCCGGGACUCCAGGAUCAUGACCUGAGCCGAAGGCAGUCGCUUAACCAACUGAGCCACCCAGGCGCCCCUCAAAGUAACUUUUUUAAAAAAAUAUUUUAUUUAUUUAUUUGACAGAGAGAGCACAAGCAGGCGGAGCGGCAGAGGGAGAGGGAGAAGCAGGCUCCCCGCUGAGCAAGGGAACAGAUACAGGGCUCGAUCCCAGGACCCCAGGAUCAUGACCUGAGCUGAAGGCAGACGCUCAACUGACUAAACCACCCAGGCGCCCCGAGGCAAAGUAACUUUUGCCUUAAAAUUAUUCUCAUGGUUUUGCAGACAUUGAAGUGUCUUCUUUAAUUCUCAAUAUUUGAAUUAUUUUAAUUGUAGAUUUUACUUAUUUAUUUGAGAGAGAGAGAGUGAGCACAAGCAUGGAGCACCGUGUGUUUUUAGGUUUCAAAUGUGUGAAAAGAGGGAAUGGCUUGGAGACCAUUUUAGAGGGUGUUGAGACAUUGGAAUAAAGCAAUCCGACCGUGAUCAAAGCAGAGACCUGCCUUCGGUAGCUUCAAUGACCCAAGAAGAGAAGUCCUAAAUGCACCCUUAGAAUUUGCACCCAGGUGCCCCAAUUCUCAAUAUUUUAGACUUAGGACAAAGCUCAAUUCAAAUACUUUCUAAAAUGAAAUGUGGUUAACUGUCACAUAAGACCCAACAUUGUUUAACAGCAGCUUUUCUGUUUCAUGACUUAAAUAUCAUAAAAUAAGUAGAAAGAUCACAAAUGACAGGUUCUCCAUAUGGUAAGCUGUCAAGAAAUAAAGCAUGAGGGCGCCUGGAUGGCUCAGUCAGUUGAGCGUCUGACUCUUGGUCUCAGCUCAGGUCUUGAUCUCAGGGUUGUGAGUUUGAACCCCGCAUUGGGCUCCAUGCUGGGCAUGGGACCUACUUUAAAAAAAAAAACAAAAACAAAAGAA